RNAcentral lists this ribosomal RNA (439 nucleotides) under uncultured bacterium. Its description in RNAcentral is "partial 16S ribosomal RNA". It matches the Rfam family "Bacterial small subunit ribosomal RNA", at positions 339 to 795 of the family's 1533-position model. The record is from RNAcentral.
CUACGGGACGCAGCAGUGAGGAAUAUUGCACAAUGGGGGGAACCCUGAUGCAGCAACGCCGCGUGGAGGAUGACGCAUUUCGGUGUGUAAACUCCUUUUAUAUGUCAAGAAAACGACGGUAGCAUAUGAAUAAGCACCGGCUAACUCCGUGCCAGCAGCCGCGGUAAUACGGAAGGUGCAAGCGUUACUCGGAAUCACUGGGCGUAAAGGACGCGUAGGCGGGUUGGAAAGUCAGGUGUGAAAUCCUACAGCUUAACUGUAGAACUGCACUUGAAACUUCUAAUCUAGAGUAUGGGAGGGGGAGAUGGAAUUAGUGGUGUAGGAGUAAAAUCCGUAGAUAUCACUAGGAAUACCUAAAGCGAAGGCGAUCUCCUGGAACAUUACUGACGCUAAGGCGUGAAAGCGUGGGGAGCAAACAGGAUUAGAUACCCGCGUAGUC